AUGCCCCGUGAUGUUGUUCCCUUAAAUUUUAAUGUGUUCCUUGAGAAAACAAAGUUGAAAGAUGAUGGUAGUAAUUACAUGAACUGGGUCCGUAACUUGAGGAUUAUCCUCAUUGCUGCACAGAAGAGUUACGUCCUGGAAGCACCGCUAGGUGCCAGACCCACUGCAGGAGCAACGCCAGAUGUUAUGAACGUCUGGCAGAGCAAAGCUGAUGACCACUCGAUAGUUCAGUGUGUCAUGCUUUACGGCUUAGAAUCAGGACUUGAACGACGUUUUGAACGUCAUGGAGCAUAUGAGAUGUUUCAGGAGUUGAAGUUAAUAUUUCAAGCAAAUGUCCGGAUUGAGAGAAAUGAAGUCUCCAAUAAGUUCUAUAGCUGCAAGAUGGAGGAAAAUAGUUCUGUCAGUGAGCAUAUACUCAAAAUGUCUGGAUAUCAUAACCACUUGACUCAACUGGGAGUUAAUUUUCCUGUUGAUAGUGUCAUUGACAGAGUUCUUCAAUCAUUGCCACCAAGCUAUAAAAGCUUCAUGAUGAACUAUAAUAUGCAAGGGAUGAAUAAGACUAUUCCCGAGCUCUUCGCGAUGCUAAAGGCUGCGGAGGUAGAAAUCAAGAAGGAGCAUCAAGUGUUGAUGGUCAACAAGACCACCAGUUUCAAGAAAAAGGGCAAACGAAAGAAGAAGGGGAACUUAAAAAAAAGGCAAAUAAGUUGCUGCUCAAGAGAAGAAACCCAAGUCUGGACCUAA
Molecule: ribosomal RNA, 741 nt
Filed under: Triticum aestivum (bread wheat)
Lineage: Eukaryota; Viridiplantae; Streptophyta; Magnoliopsida; Poales; Poaceae
Description: partial small subunit ribosomal RNA
Source: RNAcentral